AACGAACGCUGGCGGCAUGCCUAACACAUGCAAGUCGAACGAAGGCUUCGGCCUUAGUGGCGCACGGGUGCGUAACGCGUGGGAAUCUGCCCUUUGGUUCGGAAUAACAGCUGGAAACGGCUGCUAAUACCGGAUGAUGACGAAAGUCCAAAGAUUUAUCGCCAGAGGAUGAGCCCGCGUUGGAUUAGGUAGUUGGUGGGGUAAAGGCCUACCAAGCCGACGAUCCAUAGCUGGUCUGAGAGGAUGAUCAGCCACACUGGGACUGAGACACGGCCCAGACUCCUACGGGAGGCAGCAGUGGGGAAUAUUGGACAAUGGGCGCAAGCCUGAUCCAGCAAUGCCGCGUGAGUGAUGAAGGCCCUAGGGUUGUAAAGCUCUUUUACCCGGGAAGAUAAUGACUGUACCGGGAGAAGAAGCCCCGGCUAACUCCGUG
RNAcentral lists this ribosomal RNA (433 nucleotides) under uncultured bacterium. RNAcentral's name for it is "partial 16S ribosomal RNA". It matches the Rfam family "Bacterial small subunit ribosomal RNA", at positions 29 to 507 of the family's 1533-position model. The record is from RNAcentral.